UUAAGCGACUAAGCGUACACGGUGGAUGCCCUGGCAGUCAGAGGCGAUGAAGGACGUGCUAAUCUGCGAUAAGCGUCGGUGAGGUGAUAUGAACCGUUAUAACCGGCGAUUUCCGAAUGGGGAAACCCAGUGUGUUUCGACACACUAUCAUUAACUGAAUCCAUAGGUUAAUGAGGCGAACCGGGGGAACUGAAACAUCUAAGUACCCCGAGGAAAAGAAAUCAACCGAGAUUCCCCCAGUAGCGGCGAGCGAACGGGGAGGAGCCCAGAGCCUGAAUCAGUGUGUGUGUUAGUGGAAGCGUCUGGAAAGGCGCGCGAUACAGGGUGACAGCCCCGUACACAAAAAUGCACAUACUGUGAGCUCGAUGAGUAGGGCGGGACACGUGGUAUCCUGUCUGAAUAUGGGGGGACCAUCCUCCAAGGCUAAAUACUCCUGACUGACCGAUAGUGAACCAGUACCGUGAGGGAAAGGCGAAAAGAACCCCGGCGAGGGGAGUGAAAAAGAACCUGAAACCGUGUACGUACAAGCAGUGGGAGCCUCUUAAUGGGGUGACUGCGUACCUUUUGUAUAAUGGGUCAGCGACUUAUAUUCUGUAGCAAGGUUAACCGAAUAGGGGAGCCGAAGGGAAACCGAGUCUUAACUGGGCGUUAAGUUGCAGGGUAUAGACCCGAAACCCGGUGAUCUAGCCAUGGGCAGGUUGAAGGUUGGGUAACACUAACUGGAGGACCGAACCGACUAAUGUUGAAAAAUUAGCGGAUGACUUGUGGCUGGGGGUGAAAGGCCAAUCAAACCGGGAGAUAGCUGGUUCUCCCCGAAAGCUAUUUAGGUAGCGCCUCGUGAAUUCAUCUCCGGGGGUAGAGCACUGUUUCGGCAAGGGGGUCAUCCCGACUUACCAACCCGAUGCAAACUGCGAAUACCGGAGAAUGUUAUCACGGGAGACACACGGCGGGUGCUAACGUCCGUCGUGAAGAGGGAAACAACCCAGACCGCCAGCUAAGGUCCCAAAGUCAUGGUUAAGUGGGAAACGAUGUGGGAAGGCCCAGACAGCCAGGAUGUUGGCUUAGAAGCAGCCAUCAUUUAAAGAAAGCGUAAUAGCUCACUGGUCGAGUCGGCCUGCGCGGAAGAUGUAACGGGGCUAAACCAUGCACCGAAGCUGCGGCAGCGACACUAUGUGUUGUUGGGUAGGGGAGCGUUCUGUAAGCCUGUGAAGGUGUACUGUGAGGGUUGCUGGAGGUAUCAGAAGUGCGAAUGCUGACAUAAGUAACGAUAAAGCGGGUGAAAAGCCCGCUCGCCGGAAGACCAAGGGUUCCUGUCCAACGUUAAUCGGGGCAGGGUGAGUCGACCCCUAAGGCGAGGCCGAAAGGCGUAGUCGAUGGGAAACAGGUUAAUAUUCCUGUACUUGGUGUUACUGCGAAGGGGGGACGGAGAAGGCUAUGUUGGCCGGGCGACGGUUGUCCCGGUUUAAGCGUGUAGGCUGGUUUUCCAGGCAAAUCCGGAAAAUCAAGGCUGAGGCGUGAUGACGAGGCACUACGGUGCUGAAGCGACAAAUGCCCUGCUUCCAGGAAAAGCCUCUAAGCAUCAGGUAACAUCAAAUCGUACCCCAAACCGACACAGGUGGUCAGGUAGAGAAUACCAAGGCGCUUGAGAGAACUCGGGUGAAGGAACUAGGCAAAAUGGUGCCGUAACUUCGGGAGAAGGCACGCUGAUAUGUAGGUGAAGCGACUUGCUCGUGGAGCUGAAAUCAGUCGAAGAUACCAGCUGGCUGCAACUGUUUAUUAAAAACACAGCACUGUGCAAACACGAAAGUGGACGUAUACGGUGUGACGCCUGCCCGGUGCCGGAAGGUUAAUUGAUGGGGUUAGCGGUAACGCGAAGCUCUUGAUCGAAGCCCCGGUAAACGGCGGCCGUAACUAUAACGGUCCUAAGGUAGCGAAAUUCCUUGUCGGGUAAGUUCCGACCUGCACGAAUGGCGUAAUGAUGGCCAGGCUGUCUCCACCCGAGACUCAGUGAAAUUGAACUCGCUGUGAAGAUGCAGUGUACCCGCGGCAAGACGGAAAGACCCCGUGAACCUUUACUAUAGCUUGACACUGAACAUUGAGCCUUGAUGUGUAGGAUAGGUGGGAGGCUUUGAAGUGUGGACGCCAGUCUGCAUGGAGCCGACCUUGAAAUACCACCCUUUAAUGUUUGAUGUUCUAACGUGGGCCCCUUACCGGGGUUGCGGACAGUGUCUGGUGGGUAGUUUGACUGGGGCGGUCUCCUCCUAAAGAGUAACGGAGGAGCACGAAGGUUGGCUAAUCCUGGUCGGACAUCAGGAGGUUAGUGCAAUGGCAUAAGCCAGCUUGACUGCGAGCGUGACGGCGCGAGCAGGUGCGAAAGCAGGUCAUAGUGAUCCGGUGGUUCUGAAUGGAAGGGCCAUCGCUCAACGGAUAAAAGGUACUCCGGGGAUAACAGGCUGAUACCGCCCAAGAGUUCAUAUCGACGGCGGUGUUUGGCACCUCGAUGUCGGCUCAUCACAUCCUGGGGCUGAAGUAGGUCCCAAGGGUAUGGCUGUUCGCCAUUUAAAGUGGUACGCGAGCUGGGUUUAGAACGUCGUGAGACAGUUCGGUCCCUAUCUGCCGUGGGCGCUGGAGAACUGAGGGGGGCUGCUCCUAGUACGAGAGGACCGGAGUGGACGCAUCACUGGUGUUCGGGUUGUCAUGCCAAUGGCACUGCCCGGUAGCUAAAUGCGGAAGAGAUAAGUGCUGAAAGCAUCUAAGCACGAAACUUGCCCCGAGAUGAGUUCUCCCUGACUCCUUGAGAGUCCUGAAGGAACGUUGAAGACGACGACGUUGAUAGGCCGGGUGUGUAAGCGCAGCGAUGCGUUGAGCUAACCGGUACUAAUGAACCGUGAGGCUUAACCUU
RNAcentral lists this ribosomal RNA (2902 nucleotides) under Escherichia coli HVH 141 (4-5995973). RNAcentral's name for it is "bacterial LSU rRNA". It matches the Rfam family "Bacterial large subunit ribosomal RNA". Lineage: Bacteria; Pseudomonadati; Pseudomonadota; Gammaproteobacteria; Enterobacterales; Enterobacteriaceae. The record is from RNAcentral.